This 443-nucleotide ribosomal RNA is filed under the name uncultured bacterium. Its description in RNAcentral is "partial 16S ribosomal RNA". It matches the Rfam family "Bacterial small subunit ribosomal RNA", at positions 338 to 795 of the family's 1533-position model. The record is from RNAcentral.
CCUACGGGAGGCAGCAGUGGGGAAUAUUGGGCAAUGGGCGCAAGCCUGACCCAGCAACGCCGCGUGAAGGAAGAAGGCUUUCGGGUUGUAAACUUCUUUUCUCAGGGACGAAGAAAGUGACGGUACCUGAUGAAUAAGUCACGGCUAACUACGUGCCAGCAGCCGCGGUAAUACGUAGGUGGCAAGCGUUAUCCGGAUUUAUUGGGUGUAAAGGGCGUGUAGGCGGGAGCGUAAGUCAGAUGUGAAAACUUAGGGCUCAACCCUGAGCCUGCAUUUGAAACUGUGUUUCUUGAGUGCUGGAGAGGGAAGCGGAAUUCCGGGUGUAGCGGUGAAAUGCGUAGAUAUACGGAGGAACACCAGUGGCGAAGGCGGAUUGCUGGACAGUAACUGACGCUGAGGCGCGAAAGCGUGGGGAGCAAACAGGAUUAGAUACCCGAGUAGUC